Molecule: non-coding RNA, 287 nt
Organism: Otolemur garnettii (small-eared galago)
Lineage: Eukaryota; Metazoa; Chordata; Mammalia; Primates; Galagidae
Source: Rfam
GUUGGGCACAGUGCUGGGUGCCUAUCAUCCCAGCUAUUCGGGAGGCUGAAGUAGGAGGAUCUCUUGAGCUCAGAAUUCUGGGUCGUAGUGUGCCAUGCUGAUCAGGAGUCCACACUAAAUUCAGCAUCAACACAGCGACCUCCUGGGAGCAAGGGACCUCCAGCUUCCCCACAGGAGAGGUGAACCAGCUCAAGUUGAAAACAGAGCAGGUCCGAACUCCUGUGAUAUCACACCUGUGAGUAAUUACUGCACCCCAGCCUGUAUAACGUAGCCCGACCCCAUGUCUA